GGACUACAGGGGUAUCUAAUCCUGUUUGCUCCCCACGCUGUCGCGCCUCAGCGUCAGCCACUGCCCAGCGAGCCGCCUUCGCCACCGGUGUUCUUCCGGAUCUCUACGCAUUCCACCGCUACACCCGGAAUUCCACUCGCCUCUACAGUGCUCCAGCCUCGCAGUCGGCACGGCCGAUCCGGGGUUGAGCCCCGGACUUUCACCGCACCCUUAAGAGGCCGCCUACGCGCCCUUUACGCCCAGUGAUUCCGGACAACGCUCGCACCCUCCGUAUUACCGCGGCUGCUGGCAC
RNAcentral lists this ribosomal RNA (292 nucleotides) under uncultured bacterium. Its description in RNAcentral is "partial 16S ribosomal RNA". The record is from RNAcentral.